GAUGAACGCUGGCGGCGUGCCUAAUACAUGCAAGUCGAGCGAACGGACGAGAAGCUUGCUUUUCUGAUGUUAGCGGCGGACGGGUGAGUAACACGUGGUUAACCUACCUAUAAGACUGGGAUAACUUCGGGAAACCGGAGCUAAUACCGGAUAAUAUUUUGAACCGCAUGGUUCAAAAGUGAAAGACGGUCUUGCUGUCACUUAUAGAUGGAUCCGCGCUGCAUUAGCUAGUUGGUAAGGUAACGGCUUACCAAGGCAACGAUGCAUAGCCGACCUGAGAGGGUGAUCGGCCACACUGGAACUGAGACACGGUCCAGACUCCUACGGGAGGCAGCAGUAGGGAAUCUUCCGCAAUGGGCGAAAGCCUGACGGAGCAACGCCGCGUGAGUGAUGAAGGUCUUCGGAUCGUAAAACUCUGUUAUUAGGGAAGAACAUAUGUGUAAGUAACUGUGGACAUCUUGACGGUACCUAAUCAGAAAGCCACGGCUAACUACGUG
Molecule: ribosomal RNA, 497 nt
Filed under: uncultured bacterium
Lineage: Bacteria
Description: partial 16S ribosomal RNA
Rfam family: Bacterial small subunit ribosomal RNA
Source: RNAcentral